ACACACUGUGUGCACUCAUUCACAUUCACCAUCCUUGCACAAAUAACCACCACUCUCCAUUGGCUCUCCAUCCAACUUCCUCCUUCCCACCCAAAAAACUUCCAUCGCGCCAUGGCAUUUGGCCUCGAAUGGGACAAGGCGCUGCAGGAGAUCUUCGACGGCGGCAACACCAAGCUCCCCUACGCGCGUGAGGUGAGCACCUGUUACACCAGCGUUGAAAUCCUGAAGAACCAUGCGCGCGCAGUGAGGUCUGCUGCCAACCAAGAGGAGUACGCCCGAUUGCCAGACCUUCGCCGCCCACUGAUCGAGAAUUUGGUCUGGGCGAUGGGCGAGGAAAGGGAUUCCCAG
This 348-nucleotide long non-coding RNA is filed under the name Hordeum vulgare. RNAcentral's name for it is "long non-coding RNA (HVUL_LNC000563)". Lineage: Eukaryota; Viridiplantae; Streptophyta; Magnoliopsida; Poales; Poaceae. The record is from RNAcentral.